AGGAAGGCAGCAGGCGCGCAAAUUACCCAAUCCUGACUCAGGGAGGUAGUGACAAGAAAUAACAACACUGGAAAUUUUAUUUCUAGUGAUUGGAAUGAUGGGAAUUUAAACCCCUUUCAGAGUAACAAUUGGAGGGCAAGUCUGGUGCCAGCAGCCGCGGUAAUUCCAGCUCCAAUAGCGUAUAUUAAAGUUGUUGCAGUUAAAAAGCUCGUAGUUGGAUGUCUGCUGGAAGCAAUCGGUCCGCCCUAUUUGUAGGGUGUGCACUUGAUGAAUUCUGGCAUCUCUAUCCUGAUAAUGGUGUGCCGCGUGGGGGGGAAUUCUCCUCUUCCCGCCACCGC
This 338-nucleotide ribosomal RNA is filed under the name Sarcocystis arieticanis. RNAcentral describes it as "SSU rRNA". It matches the Rfam family "Eukaryotic small subunit ribosomal RNA", at positions 419 to 758 of the family's 1831-position model. The record is from RNAcentral. Lineage: Eukaryota; Apicomplexa; Conoidasida; Eucoccidiorida; Sarcocystidae.